Molecule: ribosomal RNA, 325 nt
Filed under: Klebsiella variicola
Lineage: Bacteria; Pseudomonadati; Pseudomonadota; Gammaproteobacteria; Enterobacterales; Enterobacteriaceae
Also listed under: 1 other name
Description: bacterial SSU rRNA
Rfam family: Bacterial small subunit ribosomal RNA
Source: RNAcentral
AAAUUGAAGAGUUUGAUCAUGGCUCAGAUUGAACGCUGGCGGCAGGCCUAACACAUGCAAGUCGAGCGGUAGCACAGAGAGCUUGCUCUCGGGUGACGAGCGGCGGACGGGUGAGUAAUGUCUGGGAAACUGCCUGAUGGAGGGGGAUAACUACUGGAAACGGUAGCUAAUACCGCAUAACGUCGCAAGACCAAAGUGGGGGACCUUCGGGCCUCAUGCCAUCAGAUGUGCCCAGAUGGGAUUAGCUGGUAGGUGGGGUAACGGCUCACCUAGGCGACGAUCCCUAGCUGGUCUGAGAGGAUGACCAGCCACACUGGAACUGAGA